GUGGGGAAUAUUGCACAAUGGGCGCAAGCCUGAUGCAGCCAUGCCGCGUGUGUGAAGAAGGCCUUCGGGUUGUAAAGCACUUUCAGCGGGGAGGAAGGCGAUAAGGUUAAUAACCUUGUCGAUUGACGUUACCCGCAGAAGAAGCACCGGCUAACUCCGUGCCAGCAACCGCGGUAAUACGGAGGGUGCAAGCGUUAAUCGGAAUUACUGGGCGUAAAGCGCACGCAGGCGGUCUGUCAAGUCGGAUGUGAAAUCCCCGGGCUCAACCUGGGAACUGCAUUCGAAACUGGCAGGCUAGAGUCUUGUAGAGGGGGGUGGAAUUCCAGGUGUAGCGGUGAAAUGCGUAGAGAUCUGGAGGAAUACCGGUGGCGAAGGCGGCCCCCUGGACAAAGACUGACGCUCAGGUGCGAAAGCGUGGGGAGCAAACAGGAUUAGAUACCCGGGUAGUCC
Molecule: ribosomal RNA, 450 nt
Filed under: uncultured bacterium
Lineage: Bacteria
Description: partial 16S ribosomal RNA
Rfam family: Bacterial small subunit ribosomal RNA
Source: RNAcentral